This 379-nucleotide long non-coding RNA is filed under the name Trifolium pratense (red clover). RNAcentral describes it as "long non-coding RNA (TPRA_LNC001694)". Lineage: Eukaryota; Viridiplantae; Streptophyta; Magnoliopsida; Fabales; Fabaceae. The record is from RNAcentral.
CCUGUUACCUUUAAUCUUGUUACCCGUUUGUGAUUCUUUAAUCCGCGGGUCCCCGUUACCUUUAAUCCCAUUACCCGUUUGUGAUUCUUUAAUCCGCGGGUCCUGUUACCUUUAAUCCUGUUACCCGUUUGUGAUUCUUUAAUCCGCGGGUCCCAGUUACCUUUAAUCCUGUUACCCGUUUGUGAUUCUUUAAUCCGCGGGUCCCGUUACCUUUAACCACAGUUACCCGUUUGUGAUUCUUUAAUCCGCGGGCCCCCGUUUGUGAUAUUUCAAUCCGCGGGUAUUUUUACUUAAUUUGAUAUGGAUUCAUCUCUUCAGCCGCUCCUCUACUGCUCCUUUGGUUGCCGCUCUUCGUUGGCUUGCUAUCAAUGGAUUUAAU